Polyodon spathula (Mississippi paddlefish) is the source of this 119-nucleotide small nuclear RNA. RefSeq annotates it as U5 spliceosomal RNA. The record is from RefSeq and is a predicted model, not a curated record. The transcript has a single exon. NCBI's taxonomy places the organism in Eukaryota, Metazoa, Chordata, Actinopteri, Acipenseriformes, Polyodontidae.
ACGCUCUGGCUUCUCUACAGCUUGAAUUUUAUCUUUCGCCUUUUACUAAAGUUUUCCGUGGAGAGGAGCAUUUACGAGUUGUACAUCCAAUUUUUGGACAGCCCUUCCCAUCAGGGAGA